RNAcentral lists this ribosomal RNA (253 nucleotides) under uncultured bacterium. Its description in RNAcentral is "partial 16S ribosomal RNA". It matches the Rfam family "Bacterial small subunit ribosomal RNA", at positions 524 to 776 of the family's 1533-position model. The record is from RNAcentral.
UACGGAGGAUCCGAGCGUUAUCCGGAUUUAUUGGGUUUAAAGGGAGCGUAGGCGGGUUGUUAAGUCAGUUGUGAAAGUUUGCGGCUCAACCGUAAAAUUGCAGUUGAUACUGGCAUCCUUGAGUACAGUAGAGGUAGGCGGAAUUCGUGGUGUAGCGGUGAAAUGCUUAGAUAUCACGAAGAACUCCGAUUGCGAAGGCAGCCUGCUGGACUGUAACUGACGCUGAUGCUCGAAAGUGUGGGUAGCAAACAGG